AGGCUGCAGUAGCAAAGAGCUUCUUGUGCUCCUUCAUCGAGAUGUACGAAGAGAAGCCCUUUGACCUCCUGGGCAGCACCUCAGUGAGUCUGGUUUCUAAAUUGAGAAAGCACUGUUUGUGGAAGGAGCGGUGGAGAAAUACGUGGCUUCAGCCACAGAUGCCUACCAGAAUCUGGAUCAGUUGUUCAGAAGAAUCGGCACAGUUAAUCAGCACAGCAAACAGUUCAGAACUGACCAAGUGAAUCUCUAUCAAAUUACUGACUCAAGUUAAGUUUUAGAGCAGAGUUUUCCUACCCUGAACCUGUGAAUCACACUCCUUCAGAACGCUUAAACUAUACAAUAAAUUAGUAAAUUAAUCAAACUUAAAACCGAUCUAAUAAAUUGGUGAGGUAUAUUAGUUGUCCGGAACAGAAAAGUGAUAAAUUGGUGAACUGGGCAAGCUCAGAACUGAUUCAUUUAACUGGUUACAUAAACAGAACAGAGAAUUAAUACAGUGAAUCAGUAAAUUAAACAGUUCAGAAUCGAUUCAGUGAAUCAGUUAAUCAAGCAGUUUGGAACUAUUACAGCAAAUUAGUACUUCAAACUUGUUCCGAAUUAAUACAGUGAAUCAGUAAAUUCACCAGCUCAGAAUCGAUUCAGUGACAAUUAAUAACUGAGGAAGAUGACGCUCUGUGCGCUGAGAGAGAGGCGGCUCUGGAAGCUCUGCACGCUGGGAGAGAGGCGGCUCUGGACACUCUGCACGCUGAGAGAGAGGCGGCUCUGGACGCUCUGCGCGCUGGGAGAGAGGCGGCUCUGGACGCUCUGCGCGCUGGGAGAGAGGCGGCUCUGGACGCUCUGCGCGCUGAGAGUGAGGCGGCUCUGGACGCUCUGCGCGCUGAGAGAGAGGCGGCUCUGGACGCUCUGCGCGCUGAGAGAGAGGCGGCUCUGGACGCUCUGCGCGCUGAGAGUGAGGCGGCUCUGGACGCUCUGCGCGCUGAGAGAGAGGCGGCUCUGGACGCUCUGCACGCUGAGAGAGAGGCGGCUCUGGACGCUCUGCACGCUGAGAGAGAGGCGGCUCUGGACGCUCUGCAUGCUGAGAGAGAGGCGGAUCUGUGUGCUGAGAUUGAUAGGCUCAGGCUGGAAAUUGUGACUAGGAGGACAAGCUCGCGCAGGCCUAGAUGAGACGACUGAUCCUUGAGCAGAAGACGAAGGCGGUGGAAGACCGACACUGAAAAUAAACAAAAUACUGCUGAAGACUGGAAAAACGUCACCUUCCAGUCUCCAGCUGUGUCAGGUUCCUGUUCCUGCCUGACAAGAGCGGAGCCUGAUGUAACGAUCUGCUGAUGGAGCCCAUCCACCUCAAGAUUUGAGGAUAGUUUAAUUUAACAACCAUGGUGAAAAGUAAACAGCAACCUUGAUGUUAGUUGUUUGUUGCCAUGGUUACAUUCCAACAUCAUAAAAUAUGGUACUUUCGAAUGGUUUCCAACGUUCACUGUGUUUAUACGAGGUUUCUACAAGAAAGUUUGGUUAGCAGAAGUUUGGUUAGCAGUUGAUGCUGUGUGUAAUUAAAGUGUCAUUUUAGCAAUACAUUGUCUUUUCUUAGUAAUUUAUUUACAAA
Molecule: long non-coding RNA, 1597 nt
Organism: Ictalurus punctatus (channel catfish)
Lineage: Eukaryota; Metazoa; Chordata; Actinopteri; Siluriformes; Ictaluridae
Exons: 4
Source: RefSeq, a predicted model, not a curated record